Molecule: long non-coding RNA, 1314 nt
Organism: Myzus persicae (green peach aphid)
Lineage: Eukaryota; Metazoa; Arthropoda; Insecta; Hemiptera; Aphididae
Exons: 2
Source: RefSeq, a predicted model, not a curated record
UUUUUACAAGUUCCAGCAUUAUAUAAAUUAUAGUUUGUUUUUUUUUUAAUUUGCAGUAAAAAUAAUAUGUAUAAAUAAAAAAUACCUAAUAGUUGUGUAUUAUUAGUUUUCUAAGUACUAACAAUUCCAUUCAUCCAGAUUCACAGCUACCCCGUGUCGUGUCUAUCAAUUAAAAUUGUGAUUGGACAUUAUUUUUUUGGUAUCAUGUAAAACCAAGUUGCAAUCGACUAUACCAAGUAUUGACUACAGAUCAACUUUUAAACCAAUAAGGUUACCAGUUGUAAUCAUUAGUUACCAAGCGCUCGCACGACACGACACACGUAUCUGUGAAUGCGGCUGUAUUGUAUUCUUACUUAUACAACCACAAUAACUGCACGCAUGAAUCACAUUAUAUGAUUCGUCCUACCUGUAGGUAGCUGUCUAAGCCACUUAGCUCGAUCACAGUGUUUAUUUGAAGUUGUUAGAAAGUGUUAACCAACGACAAUUUACUACACUUAUACUUAUUGACUAACCGUAUUACGUCGUGAUCUACAAUAAUCGCUUGUCCGUGUUACUGUUUGUGAUUGCAGUGUCUCGGUUUGUGUGCUCGAAUGGAUGCGGCCGUUAGUACAAGCAAGCUGCAGUUACACAGCGCCUGCGUUACGAGUGCGGCGUAGCUUCGAAGUUUAAGUGUUCGUUUCCCGAUUUGUGUGCUCGAGACAAUGCGGAUGGUCGUAUAAGUACAAUCAAUUAGUUAAUCAGCAUCUUCGAUACGAGUGCGGCCUGCCUCUGAAGCUAAAGCUAUACUCGAUUUUGUAACUACAACAAUUUAAAUUUGUUGUCAUCCGUCUUAACGACGUUGUUUUUAUAUUGUUCAAUGUGAUAUUAUUAAUACAUUUUAUUAUAAUUUAUAAUAUAUAUACUGAUCGGUGAUCGAUUAAAAUAUAGUACCUGCGUUUAUUUGUGUUUAUUGUUAAUUUGUUCGAUAGUUAUUUAGGUACCAUUGGCCCAUUUACUUUAUUAUGUAGAAAAAAAAUGUGCACUUGUUGGUAUUAUAUUAUUAUCCAACGCAUGUCAUCACAAGUGUGCACUAGCUUCUAAAGUAGUGUUUUGUCGAAAAAAUAUAAUUUUGUCCUUGUAAUAUUAUAAUAGUUAUAUAUGCCUCCUAGCUUAUUGAUGUGUUGUAUCUUACGACACAUUUCUUAAUUUCUGCUUGCAUUACACCUAUCCAUCGCAUUGUGCUUUACCUUUGAUUUAUACUUUUAUCUAUAUGUAUUUUUAGUUGUACCUUGAUUGGUUUUUAAGUAUUUAAUAAACAUAACUGUUGGCUUAUUA